Molecule: ribosomal RNA, 253 nt
Filed under: uncultured bacterium
Lineage: Bacteria
Description: partial 16S ribosomal RNA
Rfam family: Bacterial small subunit ribosomal RNA
Source: RNAcentral
UACGAAGGGUGCUAGCGUUGUUCGGAAUCACUGGGCGUAAAGCGCGCGUAGGCGGCUUUGCAAGUCAGGGGUGAAAUCCCACAGCUUAACUGUGGAACUGCCUUUGAAACUGCAAAGCUGGAGUGUCGGAGGGGAUGGCGGAAUUGCUAAUGUAGAGGUGAAAUUCGUAGAUAUUAGCAGGAACACCGGUGGCGAAGGCGGCCAUCUGGACGACAACUGACGCUGAGGCGCGAAAGCGUGGGGAUCAAACAGG